AACGAACGCUGGCGGCAUGCCUAACACAUGCAAGUCGAACGAGAUCUUCGGGUCUAGUGGCGCACGGGUGCGUAACGCGUGGGAAUCUGCCCUUUGGUUCGGAAUAACAGUUGGAAACGACUGCUAAUACCGGAUGAUGACGAAAGUCCAAAGAUUUAUCGCCAGAGGAUGAGCCCGCGUAGGAUUAGCUAGUUGGUGUGGUAAAGGCGCACCAAGGCGACGAUCCUUAGCUGGUCUGAGAGGAUGAUCAGCCACACUGGGACUGAGACACGGUCCAGACUCCUACGGGAGGCAGCAGUGGGGAAUAUUGGACAAUGGGCGAAAGCCUGAUCCAGCAAUGCCGCGUGAGUGAUGAAGGCCUUAGGGUUGUAAAGCUCCUUUACCCGGGAUGAUAAUGACAGUACCGGGAGAAUAAGCUCCGGCUAACUCCGUGCCAGCAGCCGCCGUAA
Molecule: ribosomal RNA, 449 nt
Filed under: uncultured bacterium
Lineage: Bacteria
Description: partial 16S ribosomal RNA
Rfam family: Bacterial small subunit ribosomal RNA
Source: RNAcentral